RNAcentral lists this ribosomal RNA (424 nucleotides) under uncultured bacterium. Its description in RNAcentral is "partial 16S ribosomal RNA". It matches the Rfam family "Bacterial small subunit ribosomal RNA", at positions 359 to 776 of the family's 1533-position model. The record is from RNAcentral.
CAUAUUCGACAAUGGGCGAAAGCCUGAUCUAGCCCUGCCGCGUGUGUGAAGAAGGUCUUCGUAUUGUAAAGCACUUUAGGUUGGGCGGAAUGGUUGUUGGUUAAUACCCUGCAAUUUUGACGUUCCCUCCCGAAUAAGCCCCGGCUACCUUCGUCCCAGCAUCCGCGGUAAUAAGAAGGGUGCAAGCGUUAAUCGGAAUUAUUGGGCGUAAAAGGCGCGUAGGUGGUUCGUUAAGUUGGAUGUGAAAGCGCCGGGGUUAACCUGGGAAUUGCUUUCAAAACUGACGAGCUAGAGUACGGAAGAGGGUAGUGGAAUUUCCUGUGUAGCGGUGAAAUGCGUAGAUAUAGGAAGGAACACCAGUGGCGAAGGCGACCACCUGGGCUAAUACUGACACUGAGGUGCGAAAGCGUGGGGAGCAAACAGG